GAUUGCCUCAGCACAGGCCCCAGGACUCUGUCAUAUGCUUUGAUGUAUGACCAUGAACUCCUGGAUGGAUGCUUGGCUAUGUUUCUCUAGGUUCAAAAGAAAGAGGAGUGAAGAGGAGUAAAACACACAUCUAUUAAAAAGCAAGAAGAUUAAAUAAAUUGAAGCUUUUUAUUUCUCUUUCUCUGCCUAAGGACCCAGUGGCUGUCUUGAUGUCUCACAGCAGGAAGAGACUCUCUCAAAUAGGUGUACACAUGGGGAGAGAGAGAGCAAGGAGACUGAGAUACAAUCAGCCACCAGCAAGUUGUCUUGAUUUUCUGAAUGGAGCGUGGUAGCAUGUUAUAGAGUCCAAGGAAUUUGCCAAAUCCGUGUGAGAAGAUUUGCCUCUCACAUGUGAGAGAAUUUUUUGAGAAAAAAAAGAUCCUGACCCCGUCCCUCUGCCACCACCCGAGUGAGGAAGACUGACAGAGCACAUUGGCUUGCUGUGGAGACAAGAUCAGGGAAAGCGCCCCUGAAAAGAAAGCAUUUUGGAAGUCCUGAAGGUGGAGAAGGAGAUUUAGAGGAAGAGUGAUAAAUCAGAAGUCUUCGUCCAAGAAUUAGCUUUGCACCAUCUACAGACCUAAGCAGCUGCAGUCCUGGAACUGUGUGAUAACUUGCCCAGAAAAUCUUCUUGUGGAAUCUGUCUUUACAUGGAAAAGACUUGGCAAUAUUUGUACAGCAACUGGAAGAAAGGUCUUUGCUGAGAUAUACAAAGAGGCAGAAUGUGUGUGGAUCACCG
This 775-nucleotide long non-coding RNA is filed under the name Homo sapiens (human). RNAcentral describes it as "HSALNT0310109". The record is from RNAcentral. Lineage: Eukaryota; Metazoa; Chordata; Mammalia; Primates; Hominidae.